This 270-nucleotide ribosomal RNA is filed under the name Triticum aestivum (bread wheat). RNAcentral's name for it is "partial small subunit ribosomal RNA". Lineage: Eukaryota; Viridiplantae; Streptophyta; Magnoliopsida; Poales; Poaceae. The record is from RNAcentral.
AUGGCGCCGCCGACCAUCCAAAAAGUCAAAGAUGGCGUCGGCAUUUACUUAUUAUGUUCUCUUCUAAUAGUGAUCCCUUGGUAUUCAGGUUGUAAAAUCCUGAUAGGAAAGUCGACUAUUAUACCUUGUUUUUGUAAUGGCCUAUCAUCUUUAAAAAUCCGAAAGAUAAGGAUUUCACAAAACUUUUGCAUUCCUUUUUCUUUGAAAAGAAAACCUUGCCAUUUUGGGCCGCUGUUACCAUUUCCAUUUCCUGAACCUAAACCUAACUAA